UUCGCAAUGCCCGAAAGGGUGACGAAGCGACGCCGCGUGAGCGAUGAAGGUCUUCGGAUUGUAAAGCUCUGUCAUCCUGGACGAAGACGAGUUCAUAAACAAUAGAGCUGGUUGACUGUACGGGAGGAGGAAGCCACGGCUAACUCCGUGCCAGCAGCCGCGGUAAGACGGAGGUGGCGAGCGUUGCUCGGAAUUACUGGGCAUAAAGGGCGCCUAGGCAGUGCGGCAAGUCGACUGUGAAAUCCCUCGGCUCAACCGAGGAAGUGCAGCCGAAACUGCCGUGCUAGAGGACGAGAGGGGAGAGUGGAACUCCUGGUGGAGCGGUGAAAUGCGUAGAUAUCAGGAGGAACGCCGGUGGCGAAAGCGACUCUCUGGCUCGUUCCUGACGCUGCGCGCGAAAGCUAGGGGAGCGAACGGGAUUAGAUACCCUGGUAGUCCUAGCCGUAAACGAUGGGCACUAAGUAGAGGGGUUUU
Molecule: ribosomal RNA, 474 nt
Filed under: uncultured bacterium
Lineage: Bacteria
Description: bacterial SSU rRNA
Rfam family: Bacterial small subunit ribosomal RNA
Source: RNAcentral